Bos taurus (domestic cattle) is the source of this 3732-nucleotide long non-coding RNA. Lineage: Eukaryota; Metazoa; Chordata; Mammalia; Artiodactyla; Bovidae. The record is from Ensembl.
GCUAACAGCCAACAGGAGUCAGUGAUGGGUGGACGACACCGCAUCUCAACCCGAGGGUAACAAUCCCAGGUCCUCCACUUCCCAUUCCCCACCCUACCCAGCAAAUGAGCUGGCUUACAUCACCUGUGGGUUGUCCUCUCCAAUACUUCCUGAGUGGAAUCCUUUCCAAUGAAGAAGCUGAGCCUCUACUGCGUGAGAUCUUCUGCCUGAGGUACACAGGGCGUUGAAACGGUUUCCAUUGAGAGAACGUCGUAGAGACCGAAAGGAAAGGACAUCUGAAGGUGUAGCGUCUGGUGAACGAGGCGGAUGCACCAGAGCUUCGCAGCCGAGUUGCACCGUCGUCAGAGAAACCUGCAGCCUGUGUCGUCCUGACAGGAGGUGAUGCGUUUUCUGUCGGCUCCUUCCGGACGCUUUCGUCGAAUGCUGCUUUCAGUCGUCUAAUUGGGAGCAGUAUUUUUGGGAAUUAAUCAUUUGUUUUUCUGGAAGGAGCUCAUAAUAGAGGACUCCCUUCCAAUCCCACCAUAUACACAACGUCACCUUCUUUGGAUGAAGACCGGCCUCUGGUUAGUGGUGGUUCAUUUCAUUUGCUCCAUGAUCUCUUCCAUCCCACUUUCUUGCACAGUCUCCAUUUUUCAUCGACCGUCACAAUUUGUUUUAAAAAUGGAAGGUUUCCCUCAUGUUUAAGUAAAGAAUUGCAUGUGGAAAUACAAUCAAGGUUUUAUUCACUUAACUUAUGUGGAAUCCGAACAUCAAAGCGAUUAACGUACCAACUUGGUGGAAAUGAUUCUCGAUACUUGAUUUGGACAUUUUGAGUAUGUUGGCUAUCUCCCAAGUGGCGUAAUGUUGAUUGUUCUCAAUUACUGUCUUGAUUUGAUCACUAUCAACUUCAACUUGUCUACCCGACCAGGAAGCAUGGUCCAGGGAGAAAUCUCCAGCAGAAAACUUUGCAAACUAGUUUUGAUAUGUUCGAUCAGUCACAGCACCUUCGCCAUACACUGGAGAAAUCUUUUUUUUUUUUUUGGUGUUUCAGUUUCGUUUUUACUUUUCUUGAAAUAAUAGAGCAUACUAUACCCCAAAUGUUGCUUUUACUCUUCCAUCUUGAAAAUUGAAGUGGCUACACAAAAUUCACCAAUUUUGAAUUUUUUUUUAAUGCAUGCCUAUAUGACAGCUGUCACAAAACAAUCUAACAAAGUUGUUUCGAAUGAAGUUAAAGAUGACUAGGCAAUAUGAGAGCCAUCUUACAGAAAAACUGAACAAAUGUUUUGGCCAAUCCAAUAUAUAACACAGUAUUAUUAACUAUUUACUCUCUUGUUUAGUACCUGGGGAUAUACUUAAGCUGUAUUUCUAUUUUAUCCUAUCUUCUUUUUCUUUCGUCUUGUUCAGUGUCUCUGGUUUAAACUGUGGAGGGUGGUCUUUGACAAAUAGAACAAACACGGAAAUAUGAUGUGGACAGAGUCCUCACUGCCUUGUCUCUGGUGGCUUGCUCUUCCUCUAUCUUUCAGACCACUUGCACCUGUUCAGCUAAAUCACUCCAAAGAACUGGAAGAAACAACUCACACAGCAAGGUCGCUGAAAUGCGGUGAGACGGAGCUCUUAUUCUCUGCUGCUAGUCAUAAAGGCUUGUCUGUGUCUCCUUAUUCAGUUCCAGGGGCUAGGGAAGACUUUAUCUGAGACGUUUCAGGUAACGUGAAAUGAAACAUCGCUUCAUAUCUCAUCUCACUUCUUAGCUGAAACAGUAACCAAGCCGUUUUCCUUCCGAGGGGUCUAUUUUCUUUUGCCAACGUCUUCUCUGUGAAUAGAUUCGUCUUCCCAGGUACUUACUGCUUUCAUUUUUUCUCCAGAGGACAAUUUCUUCCUUUUCGUUUUUUCACUUUUUGAUGGUGCAGUACUCUGGCCACCCCCAGAAAGAUUCCAAAAUCCUCCCUCGGUUCUUUAUUCCUGCGGCUGGCAACCUACACUACCAGGAAAUCCAUCUUUAAUACAAAUCUGAAUGCCUUGUACUGUCAUUUGGGUUUAAAUAUAUUUCCCCUGAGCUCUGGCCUCAGUAAAAAUAGCAGACAGCUGGUCAGCAUGCUCCACACCAUAAACCUGUUGGGAGGAAGUACGGCCAAGGGGGUGGUUGGCUUGCAUCAAAAACACUCGGAAAGCUUGUUAAAACACAGAUUCUUGGACUCCACCCUCAGAGUUUCUGAUAUACACGUCUGGUAUGGAAUCCAAAAUUUGCAUUUUAAUAACUUUCAAGUGGUACUGACGCUGCCGGUGCAAGGACCACACUUUCAGAACCAUUGCUGCACACCAAUCUCAAACCUGCUGUCGCAAAAGCUAUUGACAGGGGUCCCCAAACUCUACUGUAUGCCAGAAUCACCUAAAGAGCUUCGGAAAUUCCAAGCCAUUGUAUACCAAGUGAAGCAGAAUGUCAGCGCAGGCAUCCAUAUUUUUCAAAGCCAGGCAUUGGGACUUUUAAGGGAGUUCCAGGCUCCUGCAACACACAGCCACGAUUGGGAUGAGGCCUGGAGACCUGCGAAGGACCAGAGGCCAGGAGGCGGGGGAAGAGCAGCCCUUGAUCUUGGGACGAUCCUCCUAUUUCCCUAGUCUGUCUUUUCUCAUCGGUCCGACAACAUGACGAGCCCUUUAGUUUCCUCUCAAGCGUUAGUAGCAAGAGAAGCACACUGAGCAAGUAAGAAGUUUUGGAACUUGGGGUGCAAGGGAGGCAGUGCUGCCAAGGGUAAGAUGCAGAGACUCUGCGGUCGGGGAGGCCUUGGUCCGCAUCCUGACUCUCACCAGCUCUGUGCCCCGAGCAAGUUCACUAACUGCUCUGUGUUGCUCUUUCCUCCUUUGUAAGGAGAGAAUGACAUUACCUUGCUCAUGGAAUUUCUCCAGAGCAAUUUUGCCUUUUGCCCAGAAUGAAGUGGGAGCUCCGGAAAUGACUGUUCUUUGACGGUUAUCCAAACAACCUGGGCUUCCCAGGUGGCGCUAGUGGUAAAGAAUCCGCCUGCCGACGCAACCUGAGACUCAAGAGAUGUGGGUUCCAUCCCUGGGUCGGGAAGGUCCCCUGGAGCAGGAAAUGGCACCCCACUCCAGUAGUCCUGCCUGGAAAACCCCAUGGACAGAGGAACCUGGCGGGCUACAGUCCAUGGGAUUGCAAAGUGUCAGACACGACUGAGCGCACACAGCAGAUACAUACUGCACAUGCCAUUAUCCCUAGAUAUGGAACAGGCAGCCUUUGGGGAAGAAUUUCAAACAGAGGUUAGUGAAAUGAACAGUGGAAAGGCUGAAAAACAGCACGAAAUAGCCCAUAAGCAGACAACCGACAGUAUGGGUGUAUGAAGAUUCAACUGGAUUUAAGUCACUCAGUGAGUGGAUCUUAAGGCAUCAGGUCUUCAGAAUUACAGAGUUCCACCUUCUUUCCCUCCUGCUUUCAGACAAGAUCAUUUACCAGCAGGUAUGCUCCUCAGACACUUCAUGUACUCAAGGUAAGUCUGAACUUGCAGUACUUUCAGAUCCUGUGUCUGGCAUAUUAUUUCAUGCAUGUAAGUUUUUCUCCUAGACUAGAUAGUAAAACCUUGAAUUUCAUGAAUUCAUGUUUCCCUAGAGCACCCAUGGCCUGAAAAUUCUGGGUGCUUAAUAGCCGUCAAUUACUCAUCUAUUUCCACAAGCCCCUUUACAUUUAUCUUCCAUACAGCUUCCAGAAUAAUCUUUCAAACAUCCAAACACCUUCCCUCUACAUAGAAG